This is a long non-coding RNA of Corvus hawaiiensis (hawaiian crow), 152 nucleotides long. RefSeq lists it as uncharacterized. The transcript has 3 exons. Lineage: Eukaryota; Metazoa; Chordata; Aves; Passeriformes; Corvidae. The record is from RefSeq and is a predicted model, not a curated record.
UCUGCCCCACAUCAACAAUGGCAUCUGAAAUUGAGGCUUCUGAUAGGUGUACCCUGUGACAGCAGCGUCAGCCUCGGAGCGCGGCCGAAGCGUGCGGCCCCAGGAGCCCGGCCCUCUUAGGAGACGCUGACUAAGAGAGAACAGCCCAGCGA